RNAcentral lists this ribosomal RNA (493 nucleotides) under uncultured bacterium. RNAcentral describes it as "bacterial SSU rRNA". It matches the Rfam family "Bacterial small subunit ribosomal RNA", at positions 903 to 1397 of the family's 1533-position model. The record is from RNAcentral.
AAAGGAAUUGACGGGGGCCCGCACAAGCGGCGGAGCAUGUUGCUUAAUUCGAGGCAACGCGAAGAACCUUACCUGGGCUUGACAUGCAGGGAAAAGCCGUAGAGAUACGGUGUCCUUCGGGGCCCUGCACAGGUGGUGCAUGGCUGUCGUCAGCUCGUGUCGUGAGAUGUUGGGUUAAGUCCCGCAACGAGCGCAACCCCCGUCCUAUGUUGCCAGCGGGUAAUGCCGGGUACUCAUAGGAGACUGCCGGGGUCAACUCGGAGGAAGGUGGGGAUGAGGUCAAGUCAUCAUGCCCCUUAUGCCCAGGGCUGCAAACAUGCUACAAUGGCCGGUACAAUGGGCUGCUAAACCGUGAGGUGGAGCGAAUCCCAAAAAGCCGGCCUCAGUUCGGAUCGGGGUCUGCAACUCGACCCCGUGAAGUCGGAGUCGCUAGUAAUCGCGGAUCAGCAACGCCGCGGUGAAUACGUUCCCGGGCCUUGUACACACCGCCCGU